AACUGUAUGAGAUAUUAUGCAGCUUUUUCUGCUCCAUGACAUGUUAAAUAGCCGCAGUACUCUGACUGUGCAAAGGUAGCAUAAUCAAUUGGCCUCUAAUUAAGGUCUGGCAUGAAUGAACGCAUGGGUAAUGACUGUCUGAGGGAUGUUAAUUGAAAAUUAUUAAGUUGGUGCAAAUGCCAACAGGAUUAAAAAAGACGAGAAGACCCUAGAAACUUAUAGUUGAUUUUGCUGGGGCGGCAGAAUUGCAUAUAACCAAUUUUAAUUUACGUGAAGCGACGCAGAAAGAAAAAGUUACUCUAGGGAUAACAGCAUAAUUUUAAUAGUUUGUGACCUCGAUGUUGGACUAGGGAUGUUACCUUCUAGAAGAAAGUAAUUAUGGCUCUGUUCGAGCCCUUAGCCCCUACAUGAUCUGAGUUCAGACCGG
RNAcentral lists this ribosomal RNA (427 nucleotides) under Codringtonia helenae. RNAcentral's name for it is "partial large subunit ribosomal RNA". It matches the Rfam family "Bacterial large subunit ribosomal RNA", at positions 1829 to 2619 of the family's 2925-position model. The record is from RNAcentral. Lineage: Eukaryota; Metazoa; Mollusca; Gastropoda; Stylommatophora; Helicidae.